This 442-nucleotide ribosomal RNA is filed under the name uncultured bacterium. RNAcentral describes it as "partial 16S ribosomal RNA". It matches the Rfam family "Bacterial small subunit ribosomal RNA", at positions 338 to 795 of the family's 1533-position model. The record is from RNAcentral.
CCUACGGGAGGCAGCAGUGGGGAAUAUUGGGCAAUGGGCGCAAGCCUGAACCAGCAAAGCAGCGUGAAGGAAGAAGGCUCUCGGGGUGUAAACUUCCUUUGACAGGGAAGUGAAGAAGACGGUACAUGACGAAUAAGAUACGGCUAACUACGAGCCAGCAGCCGAGGUAAUACGGAGGUGGCAAGCGUUGUCCGGAUUUAGUGGGUGUAAAGGGCGUGUAGCCGGGUUGACAAGUCAGAUGUGAAAUUCUGCGGCUUAACCGCAGAACUGCAGUUGACACUGUUGUUCUUGAGUACUGGAGAGGCAGACGGAAUUCCUGGUGUAGCGGUGAAAUGCGUAGAUAUUAGGAGGAACUCCAGUUGCGAAGGCAGUCUGCUGGACAGCAACUGACGGUGAGGCGCGAAAGCGUGGGGAGCAAACAGGAUUAGAUACCCUUGUAGUC